AACGCUAGCUACAGGCUUAACACAUGCAAGUCGAGGGGCAGCAUGAACUUAGCUUGCUAAGUUUGAUGGCGACCGGCGCACGGGUGAGUAACACGUAUCCAACCUGCCGAUGACUCGGGGAUAGCCUUUCGAAAGAAAGAUUAAUACCCGAUGGCAUAGUUCUUCCGCAUGGUAGAACUAUUAAAGAAUUUCGGUCAUCGAUGGGGAUGCGUUCCAUUAGGUUGUUGGCGGGGUAACGGCCCACCAAGCCUUCGAUGGAUAGGGGUUCUGAGAGGAAGGUCCCCCACAUUGGAACUGAGACACGGUCCAAACUCCUACGGGAGGCAGCAGUGAGGAAUAUUGGUCAAUGGACGAGAGUCUGAACCAGCCAAGUAGCGUGAAGGAUGACUGCCCUAUGGGUUGUAAACUUCUUUUAUACGGGAAUAAAGUGAGGCACGUGUGCCUUUUUGUAUGUACCGUAUGAAUAAGGAUCGGCUAACUCCGUGCCAGCAGCCGCGGUAAUACGGAGGAUCCGAGCGUUAUCCGGAUUUAUUGGGUUUAAAGGGAGCGUAGGCGGACGCUUAAGUCAGUUGUGAAAGUUUGCGGCUCAACCGUAAAAUUGCAGUUGAUACCGGGUGUCUUGAGUACAGUAGAGGCAGGCGGAAUUCGUGGUGUAGCGGUGAAAUGCUUAGAUAUCACGAAGAACUCCGAUUG
This 693-nucleotide ribosomal RNA is filed under the name uncultured bacterium. Its description in RNAcentral is "bacterial SSU rRNA". It matches the Rfam family "Bacterial small subunit ribosomal RNA", at positions 32 to 715 of the family's 1533-position model. The record is from RNAcentral.